RNAcentral lists this ribosomal RNA (257 nucleotides) under uncultured bacterium. RNAcentral's name for it is "partial small subunit ribosomal RNA". It matches the Rfam family "Bacterial small subunit ribosomal RNA", at positions 26 to 285 of the family's 1533-position model. The record is from RNAcentral.
AGAAUCAACGCUGGCGGCGUGCCUAACACAUGCAAGUCGAACGAGAAAGUGGAGCAAUCCAUGAGUAAAGUGGCGACCGGGUGAGUAACACGUGACUAACCUACCUUCGAGUGGGGGAUAACCUCGGGAAACCGGGCUAAUACCGCAUAACAUCUUUGGAGUGGAAAUUCUGGAGAUCAAAGGAGCAAUUCGCUGGAAGAGGGGGUCGCGGCUGAUUAGCUAGUUGGCGGGUAACGCCCACAAGGCUUAGAUCGGUA